RNAcentral lists this ribosomal RNA (253 nucleotides) under uncultured bacterium. Its description in RNAcentral is "partial 16S ribosomal RNA". It matches the Rfam family "Bacterial small subunit ribosomal RNA", at positions 524 to 776 of the family's 1533-position model. The record is from RNAcentral.
UACAGAGGGUGCGAGCGUUAAUCGGAAUUACUGGGCGUAAAGCGCGCGUAGGCGGCUUUGCAAGUCGGGUGUGAAAUCCCCAGGCUUAACCUGGGAACUGCAUUCGAGACUGCAUUGCUAGAGUAUGGGAGAGGGAAGUGGAAUUUCCGGUGUAGCGGUGAAAUGCGCAGAUAUCGGGAGGAACACCAAUGGCGAAGGCAGCUCGCUGGGACGGUACUGACGCUGAGACGCGAAAGCGUGGGGAGCAAACAGG